GGUAGAUAGCAAUUGGGUCGGAAGCGCCAAAUCUUUUUUAUUGUUUGGAGGGCGUGCUGGAGAGCGGGGGAGGAAGAGAGCUCAGCAAACGGAGCGGCGGGGCGUUGGAGGGCGUCGGCAAUCGGCCUCGGCGGGAAGCAGCGCCCUCGUCGGCGCCCUCGGCGAACGGCGGCGACGGCGACGGCGAGCGGCGACCUCCGCCGGCGGGGCGGGGUGCGGGAAGCGGCGUCCCUCGGCGGCCUCGGCGGGCGGGACCUCGACGGCGCCCAAUAGCGAUCUCUGCCUCGGCGGGGCGGGGCGCGGGAAAUGGCGUCCCUCGGCGGCCUCGGUGGGCGGGGACCUCGGCGGCGCCCAAAGAACCGACGACAUGAAAGAACCGACGACCUGAAAUCAAAGGUCAGGUAACCAAGUAGGGGUUUAGCAACUGGGUACCAUUUUGUCUUCCAAGUCCGCGUCCGGGUCUUGGACUGUCUGAGAAACCAACUUCGGUUUAGAUUGUAACAGCAAUCCCAAUCGAUAAUUUUAUAUAGAGUGAGCUCGAUGUGAUGGUUAGCAUCAAUUCAUUCUUCUACUGACACUGGUAUAUUACCUCCCUCGAACAGUUUAAAGUUGAUUAUAAUUCGGACUAUAGUUUCUCAACCUUCACGAAGAGCUUAGAAGCAGGUCCGACUACCGUGUGACUUGUUCAAUACGGUACAUACAGGGUAGAAGAAACUAAAAUAAAUGACGAACACUAACCGGAUUAGCAUGGACAUCCUGUAAUAAAAAUAAAAAGAAACACCCCUAAGUCAAUAAAUAAAUGAACGUCCCAAUUAAAAUAAUAACGCGUUUGGACUAUAAGAACACACGACCUAAGUCAAGAACUGAACGUAGAUAAGUUAAAAUACAUAACGACAAGGAUCUUCCGUGUAAACUUCCUACUCUUCCACCGAUAAUUAUUGAAACUUUCUACUCAACUCACUGAAAAAACGAACGUAGUCCGUAUGAACUAAAGACACCUCUAUAUACCAAUUACGAGAUGGCUUCAUACACGUACGUUUCGUAUCAAAAUCUAACCAAACGUAAACUACCGUCUCAACAACCAUAAGCAUCGUACUGUUGGAAGUCUACAACUACGUUUUCCGUUCGCUACGCAAUGAACCACACCAAAAGUAUACCAGAUAAAUUAAUCGAAAACAGACUACAGCAGUACCAUGUUUAGUAUUAAAACGGUUUACAUAACGAACUAUGACCAUCCCUUGUAUUUGUGUAGAUAUACUUGACAAAGUUCGAAACGAAACGAUACAAUAAUUGAAGGUUAUCGUAUAAUGUACUUUAUAAGUAACGUAGAAUAAAACGUCGGACCAGGUGAGUGGUUUUUCCCCGUCGGGUGCCACAAAAACAUCCCUGGCGUUACUUCGUUUCAUCUUAUAACAUAAUCGAACAUAGUUAUAACAAAAACGUCAUGAAAACGUACGUCAUUAGAACAAGCACGGAAACUUUCGCUCCUCUAGGUAGGUCUGACUUUCUUUACGUCGUUCCUUCUAUAAACGAUCUCUCUUUGUACACGUGACGUCAAGACAACUCUCUCUAAUUCAGCCCACGUGUAAACAAACCCCUUAGAAUACCCUUCAUCACUUUGAUACUAUACCUACAACUCCGCAGUGGAUUGUUAACACGAAAGCUCCCGGUUGAACGUAAAAGUGCAGUUCGUACCGACUAAUAGUCUCCCGUUCCUUUCUACCUCAUCGUCUUCGUAACGGAUACUACUCAACUAGCCGAGCUAUCGACAGACGGAAACGGAUGAACCUGCUCCUGCUGUUGUCCAUGUACUGUCAACUGGACGACCUUCUCCACACGACCCUCAUGUUGUAUGUUCGACUGCAGCCAUAGCACUGUAGUAGUUCCUCCAACCGUUACUCUUGUACGCAUACUACAAGUUUAAUUGAUACCCCCAAGCACCGUUACCACUUCUUCCCCUAGUAACCCUUACCUUCAGACUGGUAGUAAGAGGUACCUCGUCUGCUGGAGUCGAUCGGAAACUAACUUUAUAAGUAUAUGUUGUGUGAUACAAACAAGCGUAACACGAUAUCUAGUAUAGUUAUAAAAUUAGGUUUAACACAUUUUCUUUUGACUCCUAUUGCUCAUAUACUCUUCGCUCAUAUCCUCUUCGAAAUUAUAAUCUCAUUGUCCCCUCCUCGUUUACUGACUUCCCCGAUAGUCGGUAGAUUUUCUUUUGACUCCCAUUGCAGUGGUCCACCUUUUGAUAUAAACUAACUGUAGUAUUGUGAUCGUUCCACUUAUUGUUACAUCGACGACUGUAAUACUACUGGCUUCGACACCGGACCUCGAGGACUGGGCACUGCCGGCCUUAUAACUGUCACCGACACACGUUGCGGGAUGACUAUCCGGCCGCUCCACGUGCGUGGUUUCACAUUCACGUCGGUCGGGUGCAUCGCUUCUCUGGACGCCUUCUGGUGGCGGUGGUACGUGGGCGUGAUGUAAGUCUCUAUAUUAACACAACCCAGGAAAGGACUAACGAGGACGCUUGGUGCCUUCUAGCAGCGGUGGAAGGGGGGCACGUUGUAAGGCCCUGUUGGAAGGGGCUGACGGG
This 2593-nucleotide ribosomal RNA is filed under the name Triticum aestivum (bread wheat). Its description in RNAcentral is "partial small subunit ribosomal RNA". The record is from RNAcentral. Lineage: Eukaryota; Viridiplantae; Streptophyta; Magnoliopsida; Poales; Poaceae.